Molecule: ribosomal RNA, 228 nt
Filed under: uncultured bacterium
Lineage: Bacteria
Description: partial 16S ribosomal RNA
Rfam family: Bacterial small subunit ribosomal RNA
Source: RNAcentral
CAACCUGCCCUUCAGAGGGGGACAACAGUUGGAAACGACUGCUAAUACCGCAUACGAUCUAAUCUCGGCAUCGAGGAUAGAUGAAAGGUGGCCUCUACAUGUAAGCUAUCACUGAAGGAGGGGAUUGCGUCUGAUUAGCUAGUUGGUGAGGUAACGGCUCACCAAGGCAACGAUACAUAGGGGGACUGAGAGGUUAACCCCCCACAUUGGUACUGAGACACGGACCAA